Molecule: transfer RNA, 74 nt
Filed under: Erinaceus europaeus (western European hedgehog)
Lineage: Eukaryota; Metazoa; Chordata; Mammalia; Eulipotyphla; Erinaceidae
Rfam family: tRNA
About the family: Transfer RNA (tRNA) molecules are approximately 80 nucleotides in length. Their secondary structure includes four short double-helical elements and three loops (D, anti-codon, and T loops).
Source: Rfam by way of RNAcentral
AGGUAGGUAGUUCAGCCAGUCAGAAUACAGAGCUUGGAAGCCUGAGGACCCAGGUUCAAUUCCUGCCCCCACUU